CACAGCACCAGGUUUAGGGUUCCCCAUUGUCUGGGCGAGGUCGUCUGAAACACUAGAUCUACCAGAUGCCCUGCUUGAUUCGACCAAAAAAUACACAAAAUUUUGCCGUUAUUCUUCGGAGCCUUGUUCGAUCUCAACAAGCUAACAGUAUUUCCUUUCCCUGUUUAUAUAGGCACCUAGUAGGAUGUUAGAUCGAGCGGAGAAAAAGUUCUUGCGCGGCCCGACAACAAAUUAGUACGGGAUUUUCAUUAUCCAUUUUCAUAGCAGAAUCUUGAUAUUUCGCGUGAGUUUGGGCAGUUAGCUUGCAGAUUCGAUGCCCAUUUUGUUCAGAUUAGUCCCAGAGAUUAAGCGAUAGCUAUAGUAGGCAUAGCCAGAAAGAUAUAAGUUCUUUUUUACUUACGCUUGUCUCCGCACUAAGAAGUUUAUUACCCUUGCAGUUUGCUUUCUCUAAUCUCUGCUAAUUUGGGUUGGUGGUUCCUUCAUACGGCCUCUUGCUUCUUAGGCCUUAGGCCUAUUUGUACGCCAGUUCUUCAUUUUAAGGACUGCUUCCAUGAACUUUAUUUCCCUUGUAUAAGAUCCCUAUAAUUGUCCUCGCGUGGCUGUGAUGACAACAAAGAUUCUUCGUCAUACCUUAAUUUCAGUUAAGGACCAAAAGUGAUGACUUUAUUUGUGCGUGUCUGAGCUGACGCUCUUUUUAUAGGUGCAGCCUUGUCUAAAUGUUUUGUUUCCCUUAUCUUUGUGCCGUUUUUUUUGCAAUUUUUGUUCAUGUUUUUAGGUGAGCACGACUAGCUUAGUAUUUUUCGUGUUCUCAAAUAUCUAUUUUUUUUGUAAUUUUGGUUCAUGUUUUUAGGUGACAACUGUGUGUAGAUGAACUAGCUCACUAUUUUUUUGUUCUCCAAUAUAUAUUGCGGUCUAUAACAAUUGUGCAUGGGAGUUCAACAAAUUUGUCAAGCCAUUGCUACUUCAUUCGAUGGCUAUUGACUUCAGUUGCUCCUAUAUUAAUGCAAGGCAAAGAUAGCCCUGGUUCAUCGAAAAAUGGUUGGACUUUGGGUUAGGCCUGCCUUCAGCAUUCUACAAAUUUGAUCCUUUUGUGCUUCUAAUCUGUUUUUUUUCAGCAUCUUUAUGCAUGGCUGUGAUGAUGAAAACUUCGUUUCUCGAUGCUGAGACUUGAUCUAUUCAAGGAUAAACUUUUGAUGAGAAUUGCGUGCCUGAGCCAAUGAACGUGCUUCAUAAACAUCGGGCAAGAGACUGGCUUUAUGAUCCAUCAAUCCUUCUUCCUAGCUGCUGGUUGCUUGGCUUCUAUACUGUAUUGGAUUCACCAUCUACUGGAGGACUGAACUUACCUGGUUUAUUCUGCUGCUUCAGUUGAGAGAGCAGGGGCACUGUGUGUUGUCGAUUAUUUAACUGUGGAGCAUUGUUGCCUUGUUCUGGUUUGUUUGCCUUCUCAUUGCUCAGCAUUACCUUGCAAACAUGUAGAAGUAUCAAAUACUCUGUUGUAGUACAGAGGGAGUAAAAGUUAAUGUUACUUUCUGCUAAAAAUAAAACUAUCCUGAUACACAAGAUAUAGCGGCCAGAACUUUUGACUAGUUUUUGUUCACCACUCGCCAAAGCUAUGGAACUUACUGUCUUGAAAGUUGACACACAUUUGAAAAUAUUUUACCAUUAGUAUGUGAUCAAAGGCGCCACACAAAUGGAUGAUAUUAUUGAAUCCAUAGCUCUGGAAUAGUUCUGGUAUAUAUAAGAUCAAAACUCUGUUUCUGUGUAUACUAACCUGUUUAACCUAUCUGUCCAGCAGCUAUCGCUUCCUCUCAUCAGUUCAUAAGUAGCUUUUGCUAUCUUGGAGCUACGCUGUGAUCCUGGGGAUGCUAAUGUGCCAGCAGCAGGUGUCUCUUUUGCAGUCUUUCUAGUUUGGUUUUCCACAGGCUUUCUUGAACGAUGGCAGUUUCUAUUGAUGUGCGUCUCACAAUACUUGUGCUCGGCCAUCACUUCCUUUGAGCACUGCCAUUUCUUGUCAUCGGUUUGGCCGCAUCUUCCAGGUUCUGGGUUCGAACCUGUGUUAGUGAACCCUUGAUAGACAGGCCUCCAUGUCACUUCAUUACUCGGAAGUAUGUCAUGCCCUGCUUGCAUUUGUACUCUAGAGUAGUCUGUAUUGUGGCUGCUCGAUACAUAUAGACCGUUCGGUUACAAAAUGUAAACAUAUAGUUGUGACAGCUUGUAUGAGGCACUUUAUGUUAUGACUACUUGCGUGGUCUAGUUCACAAAUCUUAGUGUGGAAAUCUGUUGAAAUGAUAUGUGCAACUUCAUUGGCAUACAUAUGCAUCAGUGGACUUGUUUUGUAAAUGAAUCUGUUUUUA
This is a long non-coding RNA of Lolium rigidum, 2354 nucleotides long. RefSeq lists it as uncharacterized. The transcript is spliced from 3 exons. Lineage: Eukaryota; Viridiplantae; Streptophyta; Magnoliopsida; Poales; Poaceae. The record is from RefSeq and is a predicted model, not a curated record.